Molecule: long non-coding RNA, 1108 nt
Filed under: Serinus canaria (Common canary)
Lineage: Eukaryota; Metazoa; Chordata; Aves; Passeriformes; Fringillidae
Description: lncRNA (ENSSCAG00000007612.1)
Source: RNAcentral
AAUUUCUUUGCUACUUUUUCACUAUGUUUCAUUCAUGUGAGAGGCAAGAGAAGGUGCCCAGUCCAUGUGUCCCACUUGUCUGGAAGAACGUUUGGAGUCUGGCAGUCUGGUUGUUUUCGUAGCUCCAGAGGAUUUUUAGGAGCAUGGGGAGCAUGGGAUGCAUCAACCUGUGGACCACAAAACCCUCUGGAGAAUGUUGGCUGUGGAUAAAAGCAUCUGGAAGUUUCUACCAUCUUUUUACCCUGUUUUUUCCCGGGUUACCCUGUGUCAUUUGUGGCCCUGUCCUGAGGAUUAUGGCAAACAGUCACUUACUGGAAUUCCUCCUCAUGUAUCUUCUUGAAAUGGAGCCACUGCUUUACCCAGCUGGAAGAUAUUUUCUCCCAGAGCUCUUCCAGUGCAGCAGCAGCACUCCUGUCCAGCAGAGCUGUGCCAAAGUGUCUGAUGAAACAUGGAUCUUGGCCGGCAAGAGCUGCAGUUCCUCUUCUUUUGAAAGAAGCUGGGAAAGGCUCCCCAAAACAACCAGUGGAGAGAGUGUCCAGAUGAAAGAUCUGGAUGAUUGGUGUGCCCUGUCCUUGUUGUCAACUGCUUUGCCAGGAAGAUUAAUGGCAGACGAGAAAAUGUGAGAUUUAUCUGGAAAGUAUGACUGACAGGAGCAGCUUACUCACCAUUAGAUAAGUAUUGCAGAUGACUCAUGCUGGAGUAUUGAUAGCUGCUGCUGAGAUGGAUGUCCUGUUUUAUAACAGCUGUAGUGUGAUGCCAAGAGCCAGGAACCUUAAUUUCACUAUCCAUGCUUUUCCAUGAGUGUGCUUUGGGUCUCUGGCACCUUUUCUCCUUGGUUUGUCCAUCUAAAGGGUUCACAGGGAGGGGAGGUUUUGCUUCCCUCAGUGGGGUGCAGGGUAUGGGGCAGCUCAUGCCACCUUGAAAUGAAAGCUAGUGUUGAAAGGCUGCAGCUUUUAUAGCUGUUCUCCAGGACAUGCAAUAUUUGUCUUUUUAAUAGAUGCCAUUAGUGACUUUCCUCGAUUCUUUGCGUUUUUUUUGUUUUGUUUGUGUUUUUUCAGAGCCAUUAUACCCCUUCUUCAGCAGAACUAACCAGAAGGUGUAGAAACAG